RNAcentral lists this unclassified non-coding RNA (833 nucleotides) under Hevea brasiliensis (rubber tree). The record is from RNAcentral. Lineage: Eukaryota; Viridiplantae; Streptophyta; Magnoliopsida; Malpighiales; Euphorbiaceae.
GAUUGAAUGGCUGCUAUCAGAUAUUAUGUGCAUCAAUAGUUUAAGCCAUCCACUUUUUGUUGCAUUUUUUGCACUGUUUCAUUAAUGAUCUAGCUGAGCAUCAGUUUCACUGGGUUGUGAUUUUUAAUAGAUGAACUGGGAUUAAGAGUAUAUGGUGGCACUUCUAAAGUUCUUUGCCUAUUCAAGUCUCCUCUACUGUAGAACAUCUGAAAAAUCAACAUUGUAGUCAAGGAUCAAACUUCAAAGUAUAGGAGUCCAGAAUAACUAUUAGUUGAUUAUAUAAAUGUAGAAUUUCUUGUAUUCAUUGAGAACCUCAAAUUGUUUUUUUACUAUAUUGGCAAAUUUUGUAUUGCUAUAAUAUUAUCUUUUGGUCCUGUAGUUGGACCAUAGUGGAGGGGAGGGCACCCUCCUCCAAGCCAUAGUUAAGCAUGCACUCUCCAUGGCAGCAGUCUGAAACUUGAGGCCUUCAAGAUGGAAUCCCAAGUUUUUAACUUAUAGGCUGCCCUUCGUGACUGCCAUAACGUUAUCAUUAUAAGGGAACACUUCUUGUCGGACCUUUCCAGUUGCAAUAGAAGUUGUUUUUCCUUCUUGUUUAUUAAGUAAUUUAUAUAUGUCAAACAAUCUUCUUUAUUUUGAUGAAUAGCAGGUUUCAAUAAAUUAGGUGUGUCUGCAUUUUUACAGAUUUAUGAGAUUUAAGUGGCCAAACCCUUAAUUAAGUCCAUUAUGCUUAGGGCAUGUAUCAAUUGAGUGAACCUUCACUUCCAUUAGGUGUUCAUCAACUGGCAUGAGUUCUUUAAUGUCUUGGAUUAUAUUUCCAAACUCUACAUGCCUGA